CGGCCCAAGGUCGCAGGGGUUGUGGCUGCGGCCGGGCACCCCGCAGUGAGAGACCCGGUCGCAGCUGCGACCCCUGCGACCGUGGU
Non-coding RNA from Pelobates cultripes (western spadefoot toad), 86 nucleotides. The record is from the annotation of a GenBank genome assembly. Lineage: Eukaryota; Metazoa; Chordata; Amphibia; Anura; Pelobatidae.